UACGUAGGGUGCGAGCGUUAAUCGGAUUUACUGGGCGUAAAGCGCGCGUAGGCGGUGCGGUAAGUCAGGGGUUAAAGGCUGCAGCUCAACUGCAGUAAGGCCUUUGAUACUAUCGUGCUAGAGUGCCGGAGAGGGUAGCGGAAUUCCCUGUGUAGCGGUGAAAUGCGUAGAUAUAGGGAGGAACACCGGUUGCGAAGGCGGCUACCUGGCCGGUAACUGACGCUGAGGUGCGAGAGCGUGGGGAGCAAACAGG
This 253-nucleotide ribosomal RNA is filed under the name uncultured microorganism. RNAcentral's name for it is "partial 16S ribosomal RNA". It matches the Rfam family "Bacterial small subunit ribosomal RNA", at positions 524 to 776 of the family's 1533-position model. The record is from RNAcentral.